UAAAGCUAAUGCUCCAAGCAUAUGCUUAGAAGAUCCUCUGAUUCCCACAAAAAGCUAAAAUUAUUUGUUUAAAUCCCACAACCUCUCUCAUUCCUUCUCCUUGAGGCAGGCACCAUCCAUGGCCUCCCCCCUAGAAACCUCAAGUGUUUCAGCCUUUCAGGCAUGGCAUCCACACCGUGCAGUGGCGACAUCAAAACAUAUGAAUCCUGAGCUCUAAAUUCAUGUCGCACGUUUGAUAUGAUAGGUGGGCAACUAAUGAUCCUUUGGCAAAGCAGCUGUAAUGAGAUGAGAUCGGAUGGCUAUCUAUGGACUAUGGCUCCAGCAGCGUAACCAAGUUCUCUGUUCUUCGUCGGUCGGCAAUUUAAAUAUGUAAUGCUUCAACAAACCUUUCUUAAUCUUGUUUAGAGGCAAUCUGUAUUUGGUUACACAAAUGUAUUUGACCAGAUCUUGGCUCCUUUGACUCCUUCCAACUCCUCGAAUCAGCCUUCGAAAGGAGAGAAUGGAAGGACUCGACCUGUCAACAGUAGUACAAUCACUAUCAUAUCCUAAAAUUUGAGUUGAGGUGGAUGACCAAAUGAUCACACUCUUGUCUAUUUCA
Long non-coding RNA from Tripterygium wilfordii, 598 nucleotides. RefSeq lists it as uncharacterized. NCBI's taxonomy places the organism in Eukaryota, Viridiplantae, Streptophyta, Magnoliopsida, Celastrales, Celastraceae. The transcript is spliced from 2 exons. The record is from RefSeq and is a predicted model, not a curated record.